RNAcentral lists this microRNA precursor (71 nucleotides) under Cricetulus griseus (Chinese hamster). Its description in RNAcentral is "miRNA (ENSCGRG00001002281.1)". The record is from RNAcentral. Lineage: Eukaryota; Metazoa; Chordata; Mammalia; Rodentia; Cricetidae.
GUUUGUGUGUGUGUGUGCGUAUGUGUGUGUAUGAGUAUACAUACACAAACACACAUAUAUAUGCAACAAUA